Molecule: ribosomal RNA, 504 nt
Filed under: uncultured bacterium
Lineage: Bacteria
Description: bacterial SSU rRNA
Rfam family: Bacterial small subunit ribosomal RNA
Source: RNAcentral
GAUGAACGCUAGCGACAGGCUUAACACAUGCAAGUCGAGGGGCAGCAUAAAAGUAGCAAUACUUUGGUGGCGACCGGCGCACGGGUGAGUAACGCGUAUGCAACCUACCUAUCAGAGGGGGAUAACCCGGCGAAAGUCGGACUAAUACCGCAUAAAACAGGGGCACCGCAUGGUGAUAUUUGUUAAAAAUUUAUUGCUGAUAGAUGGGCAUGCGUUCCAUUAGGUAGUUGGAGAGGUAACGGCUCACCAAGCCUACGAUGGAUAGGGGAACUGAGAGGUUGGUCCCCCACACUGGUACUGAGACACGGACCAGACUCCUACGGGAGGCAGCAGUGAGGAAUAUUGGUCAAUGGGCGAGAGCCUGAACCAGCCAAGUCGCGUGAAGGAAGAAGGAUCUAUGGUUCGUAAACUUCUUUUGCAGGGGAAUAAAGUGCAGGACGUGUCCUGUUUUGUAUGUACCCUGAGAAUAAGGAUCGGCUAACUCCGUGCCAGCAGCCGCGGUAA